Molecule: transfer RNA, 76 nt
Filed under: Gracilaria cornea
Lineage: Eukaryota; Rhodophyta; Florideophyceae; Gracilariales; Gracilariaceae
Description: tRNA-His
Rfam family: tRNA
About the family: Transfer RNA (tRNA) molecules are approximately 80 nucleotides in length. Their secondary structure includes four short double-helical elements and three loops (D, anti-codon, and T loops).
Source: RNAcentral
GCGGAAGGAGCUCGGGUACGGUUGAGCAAUAGAUUGUGGAUCUAAAGGUCAUGGGUUCGAAUCCCAUCUUUCGCCC